UUAAGCGACUAAGCGUACACGGUGGAUGCCCUGGCAGUCAGAGGCGAUGAAGGACGUGCUAAUCUGCGAAAAGCGCCGGCGAGGUGAUAUGAACCCUUGACCCGGCGAUGUCCGAAUGGGGAAACCCAGUGCAAUCCGUUGCACUAUCGUUAACUGAAUACAUAGGUUAACGAGGCGAACCGGGGGAACUGAAACAUCUAAGUACCCCGAGGAAAAGAAAUCAACCGAGAUUCCCCCAGUAGCGGCGAGCGAACGGGGAGCAGCCCGGAGUCUGAAAGCUUGUGUGUUAGUGGAACGGUCUGGAAAGUCCGACGGUACAGGGUGAUAGUCCCGUACACGAAAGCACACAUGCUGUGAACUCGAAGAGUAGGGCGGGACACGUGGUAUCCUGUCUGAAUAUGGGGGGACCAUCCUCCAAGGCUAAAUACUCCUGACUGACCGAUAGUGAACCAGUACCGUGAGGGAAAGGCGAAAAGAACCCCGGCGAGGGGAGUGAAAAAGAACCUGAAACCGUGUACGUACAAGCAGUGGGAGCCUCUUUAUGGGGUGACUGCGUACCUUUUGUAUAAUGGGUCAGCGACUUAUAUUCUGUAGCAAGGUUAACCGUAUAGGGGAGCCGAAGGGAAACCGAGUCUUAACUGGGCGUUAAGUUGCAGGGUAUAGACCCGAAACCCGGUGAUCUAGCCAUGGGCAGGUUGAAGGUUGGGUAACACUAACUGGAGGACCGAACCGACUAAUGUUGAAAAAUUAGCGGAUGACCUGUGGCUGGGGGUGAAAGGCCAAUCAAACCGGGAGAUAGCUGGUUCUCCCCGAAAGCUAUUUAGGUAGCGCCUCGUGAACUCAUCUUCGGGGGUAGAGCACUGUUUCGGCUAGGGGGCCAUCCCGGCUUACCAACCCGAUGCAAACUACGAAUACCGAAGAAUGUUAUCACGGGAGACACACGGCGGGUGCUAACGUCCGUCGUGAAGAGGGAAACAACCCAGACCGCCAGCUAAGGUCCCAAAGUCAUGGUUAAGUGGGAAACGAUGUGGGAAGGCACAGACAGCCAGGAUGUUGGCUUAGAAGCAGCCAUCAUUUAAAGAAAGCGUAAUAGCUCACUGGUCGAGUCGGCCUGCGCGGAAGAUGUAACGGGGCUAAACCAUGCACCGAAGCUGCGGCAGCGACACUAUGUGUUGUUGGGUAGGGGAGCGUUCUGUAAGCCGUUGAAGGUGUGCUGUGAGGCAUGCUGGAGGUAUCAGAAGUGCGAAUGCUGACAUAAGUAACGAUAAAGCGGGUGAAAAGCCCGCUCGCCGGAAGACCAAGGGUUCCUGUCCAACGUUAAUCGGGGCAGGGUGAGUCGACCCCUAAGGCGAGGCCGAAAGGCGUAGUCGAUGGGAAACAGGUUAAUAUUCCUGUACUUGGUGUUACUGCGAAGGGGGGACGGAGAAGGCUAUGUCAGCCGGGCGACGGUUGUCCCGGUUUAAGCAUGUAGGCGGAGGUUCCAGGUAAAUCCGGUACCUUUUAACGCUGAGGUGUGAUGACGAGGCACUACGGUGCUGAAGUGAUAAAUGCCCUGCUUCCAGGAAAAGCCUCUAAGCAUCAGGUAACACGAAAUCGUACCCCAAACCGACACAGGUGGUCAGGUAGAGAAUACCAAGGCGCUUGAGAGAACUCGGGUGAAGGAACUAGGCAAAAUGGUGCCGUAACUUCGGGAGAAGGCACGCUGAUAUGUAGGUGAAGCCCCUGCGGGCGGAGCUGAAAUCAGUCGAAGAUACCAGCUGGCUGCAACUGUUUAUUAAAAACACAGCACUGUGCAAACACGAAAGUGGACGUAUACGGUGUGACGCCUGCCCGGUGCCGGAAGGUUAAUUGAUGGGGUUAGCGGCAACGCGAAGCUCUUGAUCGAAGCCCCGGUAAACGGCGGCCGUAACUAUAACGGUCCUAAGGUAGCGAAAUUCCUUGUCGGGUAAGUUCCGACCUGCACGAAUGGCGUAAUGAUGGCCAGGCUGUCUCCACCCGAGACUCAGUGAAAUUGAACUCGCUGUGAAGAUGCAGUGUACCCGCGGCAAGACGGAAAGACCCCGUGAACCUUUACUAUAGCUUGACACUGAACACUGGUCCUUGAUGUGUAGGAUAGGUGGGAGGCUUUGAAGCGUGGACGCCAGUCUGCGUGGAGCCAACCUUGAAAUACCACCCUUUAAUGGCUGGUGUUCUAACGUGGACCCGUAAUCCGGGUUGCGGACAGUGUCUGGUGGGUAGUUUGACUGGGGCGGUCUCCUCCCAAAGAGUAACGGAGGAGCACGAAGGUUGGCUAAUCCUGGUCGGACAUCAGGAGGUUAGUGCAAUGGCAUAAGCCAGCUUGACUGCGAGCGUGACGGCGCGAGCAGGUGCGAAAGCAGGUCAUAGUGAUCCGGUGGUUCUGAAUGGAAGGGCCAUCGCUCAACGGAUAAAAGGUACUCCGGGGAUAACAGGCUGAUACCGCCCAAGAGUUCAUAUCGACGGCGGUGUUUGGCACCUCGAUGUCGGCUCAUCACAUCCUGGGGCUGAAGUAGGUCCCAAGGGUAUGGCUGUUCGCCAUUUAAAGUGGUACGCGAGCUGGGUUUAGAACGUCGUGAGACAGUUCGGUCCCUAUCUGCCGUGGGCGCUGGAGAAUUGAGGGGGGCUGCUCCUAGUACGAGAGGACCGGAGUGGACGCAUCACUGGUGUUCGGGUUGUCAUGCCAAUGGCACUGCCCGGUAGCUAAAUGCGGAAGAGAUAAGUGCUGAAAGCAUCUAAGCACGAAACUUGCCCCGAGAUGAGUUCUCCCUGAGACUUUAAGUCUCCUGAAGGAACGUUGAAGACGACGACGUUGAUAGGUCGGGUGUGUAAGCGCAGCGAUGCGUUGAGCUAACCGAUACUAAUGAACCGUGAGGCUUAACCUU
This 2900-nucleotide ribosomal RNA is filed under the name Klebsiella aerogenes. RNAcentral's name for it is "bacterial LSU rRNA". It matches the Rfam family "Bacterial large subunit ribosomal RNA". Lineage: Bacteria; Pseudomonadati; Pseudomonadota; Gammaproteobacteria; Enterobacterales; Enterobacteriaceae. The record is from RNAcentral.